RNAcentral lists this transfer-messenger RNA (360 nucleotides) under Escherichia coli. It matches the Rfam family "transfer-messenger RNA". From Rfam's summary of the family: Bacterial tmRNA, also known as 10Sa RNA or SsrA, is named for its dual tRNA and mRNA-like properties. Lineage: Bacteria; Pseudomonadati; Pseudomonadota; Gammaproteobacteria; Enterobacterales; Enterobacteriaceae. The record is from RNAcentral.
GGGGCUGAUUCUGGAUUCGACGGGAUUUGCGAAACCCAAGGUGCAUGCCGAGGGGCGGUUGGCCUCGUAAAAAGCCGCAAAAAUAGUCGCAAACGACGAAAACUACGCUUUAGCAGCUUAAUAACCUGCUUAGAGCCCUCUCUCCUAGCCUCCGCUCUUAGGACGGGGAUCAAGAGAGGUCAAACCCAAAAGAGAUCGCGUGGAAGCCCUGCCUGGGUUGAAGCGUUAAAACUUAAUCAGGCUAGUUUGUUAGUGGCGUGUCCGUCCGCAGCUGGCAAGCGAAUGUAAAGACUGACUAAGCAUGUAGUACCGAGGACGUAGGGAUUUCGGACGCGGGUUCAACUCCCGCCAGCUCCACCA